GUCGUCACAGGCUCCGAACGAAGUAAAAAACAACUGUGUUCAUUUACUUUUCCGCUGCGCUUAUACUCGGUGUUUUUUCGAAUCGAUAUUCACCCCCCCUCUAUCGAAUCUAACGGUCCUACAAUAAGAAAACUGCAGCUCCUAUUCCAGCAAUCCAAUUUCAGAAUUCAAAAUUCAAAAUCAGAAAUUCAGAUUUAAAGCUUAAGUUUCAGCAGAUCAGAAAUCAAUUCCAGCAAUACGAAUUCAGAUGGGCAGCUUACUCCUGGACAAUUUCAAAGCCCACAUCAGGUUGCAUGCGUUAAACAUGAGAGUGCUUCGCAAAGAAGACCCAGAAAGCGGAGCAUUGCAGCACGGUAAGGUGGUGCGUUGAAACUUCCCAUGAGGACCAGAGCUUGCAGUAGUCAUCGACGCAUGGACCAAGCCGAACCCCAAAAACCCUUGAAAAGAAUUCAUGAAGCUUUGUGUCAUAGUAUUUAUCCAAAAUGAAAAGUUGGGAACCAAACAGGUCAAGGUUAUCAUGUAGUAUGCACAUGUUGGAGCUCACCCAUUCCCCACCACCCCGUGGGAUCCAAAUCCACUCUGCAACUUCAUUAUCAGGCUCCCAUUUAUGUUCAUUCAAGAAUAGGUACACUCUCGAGAUUGUAGUAAUAUCAGAGUGACACCUAAUAUGAAGUGCCAGUAAAAGGCAUGCUUGAGUGUCAUCCACAGAUACACCAAUUUCUUUAAGCUUCCUUCUAUAAGAAGCAAGCUCAGAUCCAUAAAAGAUGUCAUCAAUAAACGGACCGUCUUUUCUUUGCAAUAUCCACUUGGGAUCAAAAAGAAGGCUCUCUUUUGGAAAUCUGUAACCUAGAAUUGUUUUUAUCCAUCUAUUAUUCAUCUUUUGCUUGAACCCCA
This is a long non-coding RNA of Zingiber officinale, 894 nucleotides long. RefSeq lists it as uncharacterized. The transcript has 3 exons. NCBI's taxonomy places the organism in Eukaryota, Viridiplantae, Streptophyta, Magnoliopsida, Zingiberales, Zingiberaceae. The record is from RefSeq and is a predicted model, not a curated record.